CCCUUAGGGUUUGAUCCUGGCGCAGGAUGAACGCUAGCGGCAGGCUUAACACAUGCAAGUCGAGGGGUAACAGGAAUAGCUUGCUAUUUGCUGACGACGCACGGGUGCGUAACGCGUAUACAAUCUACCUUUUACAGAGGGAUAGCCCAGAGAAAUUUGGAUUAACACCUCAUAGUAUUAUAAGAUGGCAUCAUUUCAGAAUUAAAACUUCGGUGGUAAAAGAUGAGUAUGCGUUCUAUUAGCUAGUAGGUAAGGUAACGGCUUACCUAGGCGACGAUAGAUAGGGGUCCUGAGAGGAAGACCCCCCACACUGGUACUGGAACACGGACCAGACUCCUACGGGAGGCAGCAGUGAGGAAUAUUGCGCAAUGGGGGAAACCCUGACGCAGCGACGCCGCGUGGAUGAUGAAGAUUUUCGGAUCGUAAAGCUCUGUCAAGCGGGAAAAAAUUCUUUCGGUCAAUAGCCGGAAGAACUGAUGGUACCACUGGAGGAAGCACCGGCUAACUCCGUGCCAGCAGCCGCGGUAAUACGGAGGGUGCAAGCGUUGUUCGGAUUUACUGGGCGUAAAGAGCGUGUAGGCGGUUUAGCAAGUCAGAUGUGAAAGCCCUGGGCUCAACUCAGGAAGUGCAUUUGAAACUGCUAUACUAGAGUAUGGGAGAGGAGAUUGGAAUUCCCAGUGUAGAGGUGAAAUUCGUAGAUAUUGGGAGGAACACCGGUGGCGAAGGCGACUCUCUGGACCAAUACUGACACUGAGACGCGAAAGCGUGGGGAGCAAACAGGAUUAGAUACCCUGGUAGUCCACGCCGUAAACGAUGAGGACUAGGUGUAGCGGGUAUUGACCCCUGCUGUGCCGCAGCUAACGCAUUAAGUUCUCCGCCUGGGGAGUACGGCCGCAAGGCUAAAACUCAAAGGAAUUGACGGGGGCCCGCACAAGCGGUGGAGCAUGUGGUUUAAUUCGACGCAACGCGAAGAACCUUACCUGGAUUUGUGACAUCCCGAGAAGCUCUUGGAAACAAGAGUGUGCCUCUUUGAGGAACUUGGUGACAGGUGCUGCAUGGCUGUCGUCAGCCCGUUUCGUUAGAGGGUGGGUUAAUUCCCUCAACUAGCGCAACCCCUAUCUUUAGUUGCCAUUAUUAAUUUGUGCACUCUAAAGAGACGUCCUGUGUCAAACCGGAGGAGGGUGGGGAUGACGUCAAGUCCUCAUGUCCUUUAUGACCAGGGCUACACACGUACUACAAUGGCAUGUACAAAGGGCAGCGAGCACGCGAGUGUCAGCGAAUCCCAUAAAGCAUGUCUCAGUCCGGAUUGGAGUCUGCAACUCGACUCCAUGAAGUUGGAAUCGCUAGUAAUCGUGGAUCAGCAUGCCACGGUGAAUACGUUCCCGGGCCUUGUACACACCGCCCGUCACACCACGAAAGUCGGUUGUUCCAGAAGCGGUUGGGCUAACCCCUUUUGGGGAGGCAGGUACCUAAGGUACGGCCGGUAAUUGGGGUGAAG
RNAcentral lists this ribosomal RNA (1498 nucleotides) under uncultured prokaryote. RNAcentral's name for it is "partial 16S ribosomal RNA". It matches the Rfam family "Bacterial small subunit ribosomal RNA". The record is from RNAcentral.